RNAcentral lists this long non-coding RNA (1354 nucleotides) under Musa acuminata (dwarf banana). Its description in RNAcentral is "long non-coding RNA (MACU_LNC001221)". Lineage: Eukaryota; Viridiplantae; Streptophyta; Magnoliopsida; Zingiberales; Musaceae. The record is from RNAcentral.
AAUAGGAGAUGCUUCUGCGCCCGCCAGCGGAGGCGCCGAUGCCGACGACGUCGUCGUCAUCGACGUGUGGGGAUGGCGAAGGAUGCGCAGGCGACCGCGGCAGCUUCCCCCACCCAGGGCACCUCGCCAUCGCUGUACCGGUGAAUGUAUUUCCCCUCUCUGACGACGGGAGAGAAGAAGAAGAAGAAGAACCGAUCGGUGCCUAGGAUGGAAGGGCACGCGAUCCCUUGUCGUCUUCUUUGCCCCUUUGCCUUUUUGUUGCCGACUCCCGUGGUGUAACAGAAACAAGAUUCCUGCAGGGAAACGAGGCGGGGAAGCUAGCCUCCGUUGCGGUGCGCUUGAUCCACGCCGCAGAUCGGUGGUAGCACGGAUCAUUACGAUGACUCCCCUUGCGGUGGACGGUCCUCAUGGCUCCAGUUUCCGUCCGUCCGCCCGUCCUCUGUUUCCGUCAUUGGCAGGUGAUGAACUACGGAUGGGAUCAGCGGAUGCGGUUGGAUUCGAACCUGAACCUAAACAAUAACUGGUGAAGCCUGAAGGGGCCGUUCAAGCGGGCAGGUCUGACCCAACCCGGACCAGAAUCCCCCUUUCGCAAAACACUCCUUUUUAGGGCGACGCAUCUUUUCCUUUCCCUCCCUUAUAUCUCAUCAUUUCCGCGGUCGAAUUCCUUGGCAGCUGCUUGGCCGACGGUUGCGGGGACAGUUCGACGCCGUCGCCGAACCGGCGUAAAUGGCAUAUUUAAUGGGAUCUCAAUCUCCAUCGACGGAUUCAAUUUCUUUCCGCUCCGGUCAGGUGCUUUGUUUCUUUCUGGUUUUUGAUCCCCUAGUAGCAUUAGAUCGAUCGGACGGAUUUCAAUUUGCAGUCACAUACAAUUGCCUGUCUCUUUACUUGACAUGGUUUUUCGUAUAGAAAAAAUAUUGCUUUGAGAGAUAAUGGAUAGGACUUAUUUCUACUAUAUCGUUCGGCUUCUUUGUCGUCGAACCUGUUUUCUGCGAAACCGUUUCUGAAAAUGACGGAUAAUACCCGCAACCUAACUGUGUUUAUACGAUCAUUAAGAUAAGUUUGUUCUUAUCUGCUAUCACUUGAUUUGAAUUCACUGAUGGUCGUUGCGAUGUAUCACCAGGAUCGCGUCAAGACGGUUCCGUUUCCUCCAUCACUUCCAGUCGAAUCAAUCAAUCCUGAAGGCGACUUCUUGGCGGCCUAACACUCGUUCACUACACGGGAACAAUCAAUUUGCUGUUGGUUCACUACGUAACUUAAUUUUCGGCAGAUGGACAGAUAAUACUCCAAAUUUCAACGAAGCUUUUUUUCCCUUUUCUUUCGUUUCCACCAAUCUCAUCUCACGCCUGUCUGUACA